CCUACGGGUGGCUGCAGUGAGGAAUAUUGGUCAAUGGACGCAAGUCUGAACCAGCCAUGCCGCGUGCAGGAAGACGGCUCUAUGAGUUGUAAACUCCUUUUGUACGGGGGUAAACGCAGAUACGCGUCUCUGUCUGAAAGUACCGUAUGAAUAAGGAUCGGCUAACUCCGCGCCAGCAGCCGCGGUAAUACGGAGGAUGCAAGCGUUAUCCGGAUUUAUUGGGUUUAAAGGGUGCGUAGGCGGUCGGCUAAGUUAGAGGUGAAAUCCCGAGGCUCAACUUGGGAAGUGCCUCUGAUACUGUGAGGCUAGAGAGUAGUUGAGGUAGGCGGAAUGUAUGGUGUAGCGGUGAAAUGCUUAGAGAUCA
This 364-nucleotide ribosomal RNA is filed under the name uncultured bacterium. RNAcentral's name for it is "partial 16S ribosomal RNA". It matches the Rfam family "Bacterial small subunit ribosomal RNA", at positions 338 to 699 of the family's 1533-position model. The record is from RNAcentral.